GCCGAGGUAGUUUAGACUGGUUAGAGCGCCACGCUCAUACCGUGGAUGUCAGGGGUUCAAAUCCCCUCCUCGGCA
Molecule: transfer RNA, 75 nt
Filed under: Nanobdellota archaeon
Lineage: Archaea; Nanobdellati; Nanobdellota
Description: tRNA-Met
Rfam family: tRNA
About the family: Transfer RNA (tRNA) molecules are approximately 80 nucleotides in length. Their secondary structure includes four short double-helical elements and three loops (D, anti-codon, and T loops).
Source: RNAcentral